AGCAGCCGCGGUAAUUCCAGCUCCAAUAGCGUAUAUUAAAGUUGUUGCAGUUAAAAAGCUCGUAGUUGAAUUUCAGGCCUGGCUGGACGGUCCGCCCUUCGGGUGAGUACUGUCUGUGGUCGGGUCCUACCUUCUGGCGAAGCGUCAUGGCCUUAACCGGCCGUGGCGGGGAACCAGGACUUUUACUGUGAAAAAAUUAGAGUGUUCAAAGCAGGCAAUCGCUUGGAUACAUUAGCAUGGAAUAAUGGAAUAGGAUAAUGGUUCUAUUUGUUGGUUUCUAGGACCGUUGUAAUGAUUAAUAGGGAUAGUUGGGGGCAUUAGUAUUCAAUUGUCAGAGGUGAAAUUCUUGGAUUUAUUGAAGACUAACUACUGCGAAAGCAUUUGCCAAGGAUGUUUUCAUUAAUCAAGAACGAAAGUUAGGGGAUCGAAGACGAUCAGAUACCGUCGUAGUCUUAACCAUAAACUAUGCCGACUAGGAAUCGGGCGAUGUUGAAAAAAUGACGC
Molecule: ribosomal RNA, 504 nt
Filed under: uncultured Glomeromycotina
Lineage: Eukaryota; Fungi; Glomeromycota
Description: SSU rRNA
Rfam family: Eukaryotic small subunit ribosomal RNA
Source: RNAcentral